RNAcentral lists this ribosomal RNA (407 nucleotides) under uncultured Microbacteriaceae bacterium. RNAcentral describes it as "partial 16S ribosomal RNA". It matches the Rfam family "Bacterial small subunit ribosomal RNA", at positions 355 to 774 of the family's 1533-position model. The record is from RNAcentral. Lineage: Bacteria; Bacillati; Actinomycetota; Actinomycetes; Micrococcales; Microbacteriaceae.
UGGGGAAUAUUGCACAAUGGGCGAAAGCCUGAUGCAGCAACGCCGCGUGAGGGAUGAAGGCCUUCGGGUUGUAAACCUCUUUUAGCAGGGAAGAAGCGAAAGUGACGGUACCUGCAGAAAAAGCACCGGCUAACUACGUGCCAGCAGCCGCGGUAAUACGUAGGGUGCAAGCGUUGUCCGGAAUUAUUGGGCGUAAAGAGCUCGUAGGCGGUUUGUCGCGUCUGCUGUGAAAAUCCGAAGCUCAACUUCGGACCUGCAGUGGGUACGGGCAAACUAGAGUGCGGUAGGGGAGAAGGGAAUUCCUGGUGUAGCGGUGGAAUGCGCAGAUAUCAGGAGGAACACCGAUGGCGAAGGCACUUCUCUGGGCCGUAACUGACGCUGAGGAGCGAAAGCGUGGGGAGCGAACA